This 712-nucleotide ribosomal RNA is filed under the name uncultured bacterium. RNAcentral's name for it is "bacterial SSU rRNA". It matches the Rfam family "Bacterial small subunit ribosomal RNA", at positions 756 to 1468 of the family's 1533-position model. The record is from RNAcentral.
AAAGCGUGGGUAGCAAACAGGAUUAGAUACCCUGGUAGUCCACGCCCUAAACGAUGUCAACUAGGUGUUGGGUGGGUAAAACCAUUUAGUACCGUAGCUAACGCGUGAAGUUGACCGCCUGGGGAGUACGGCCGCAAGGUUAAAACUCAAAGGAAUUGACGGGGACCCGCACAAGCGGUGGAUGAUGUGGAUUAAUUCGAUGCAACGCGAAAAACCUUACCUACCCUUGACAUGUUCAGAAUCCCGGAGAGAUUUGGGAGUGCCCGAAAGGGAGCUGGAACACAGGUGCUGCAUGGCUGUCGUCAGCUCGUGUCGUGAGAUGUUGGGUUAAGUCCCGCAACGAGCGCGACCCUUGUCGUUAAUUGCCAUCAUUUAGUUGGGCACUUUAACGAGACUGCCGGUGACAAACCGGAGGAAGGUGGGGAUGACGUCAAGUCCUCAUGGCCCUUAUGGGUAGGGCUUCACACGUCAUACAAUGGUCGGUACAGAGGGUUGCCAAGCCGCGAGGUGGAGCCAAUCCCAGAAAGCCGAUCGUAGUCCGGAUUGCAGGCUGCAACUCGCCUGCAUGAAGUCGGAAUCGCUAGUAAUCGCGGAUCAGCAUGUCGCGGUGAAUACGUUCCCGGGUCUUGUACACACCGCCCGUCACACCAUGGGAGCGGGUUCCGCCAGAAGUAGUAGCCUAACCGCAAGGAGGGCGCUACCACGGCGGGUC